RNAcentral lists this long non-coding RNA (689 nucleotides) under Physcomitrium patens. RNAcentral describes it as "long non-coding RNA (PPAT_LNC004499)". The record is from RNAcentral. Lineage: Eukaryota; Viridiplantae; Streptophyta; Bryopsida; Funariales; Funariaceae.
GAGGAAGGAGCCAAUAGAUGGAUUGGAGGAGGAGGCAAAUUUGAAUUUAAAACUAGAAUUGGUAGAACCUACAUUCAAUAAUACAGCAAAUGAUUAAUUGGGUGGACCAGAAGAAUUAGUAAUUUUGUAGAAUUUUGUUAAGUAGUUUUUAGAUAGGAAUCAAUUGUGUGUUUGCGAGGACAUUGCACAGAUAGGAGUGGGACUAUGUAGAAUGGAUAUUAGUUCGUUUUUAUAAGAUAUUGGUAAAAUAAACUAAUAGUCCAUAGAAUAGUCAGUUUAGGAGGACGGAUGAUUGAUUCAGUUAUUAAAAGCGGUUAUUAUAGGAUUACGGUUAGAAUCUAAAAAUCAGUAGCAAUUAUAUAGAAGUUGUAGAAGUUUGUCGGGGGGCCAGAUUGUGAUAGUCAUGAGCUAUAGUUAAGCUUGGUGCUUCCUCUUUGUUUUUUUAUUUUCUUUGUUGUUGAAGAGUAAUGGAUAGUUUUUGAAUACUGAGAAGUGAGUCUAUGGAAUAAAUCAGAGAUUGAUUUUUGAGUUAUUGAUUAUGUAAUUGGAGUACUGAGUGAUUGAAUUAUAUGAAAAGUUAUUAGAAGAUUGAUUAUGGAUGGAAGAUUAUGGUUGUUGUUUAUUGAAAGUUGUGUGUGUGUAUUUUGACAGAGGAAGUCUGUGAUAACAAGAAUUCUAUGAAUUCAGAU